CAGGGAGGUUUUUGACAUGCCCAGCGAACAAGUUAUUUGUCCCCUACCUCUAGCUGUUUCUGAAAUGUUUGCAAUCUCUAAUGGUGGAGAAGAAAGAGUAGAGACACUCCAGGAGAUCAACGCAGGAAAGUAAUCACCAACUGUGAGUGAUCUGUUGCCGAGGGGACACUACACCGGAGUUACAUAAGCAGAGGUGGAAGUGUUAGGCUAAAUCGCCUUGGUUUGACCUUCGCAAAUCGGUCGACGACCUCCCCC
This is a long non-coding RNA of Trematomus bernacchii (emerald rockcod), 255 nucleotides long. RefSeq lists it as uncharacterized. Lineage: Eukaryota; Metazoa; Chordata; Actinopteri; Perciformes; Nototheniidae. The record is from RefSeq and is a predicted model, not a curated record. The transcript has 3 exons.